Molecule: ribosomal RNA, 630 nt
Filed under: Streptomyces sp. MI-5.1 P202a
Lineage: Bacteria; Bacillati; Actinomycetota; Actinomycetes; Kitasatosporales; Streptomycetaceae
Description: bacterial SSU rRNA
Rfam family: Bacterial small subunit ribosomal RNA
Source: RNAcentral
CGCGGCCUAUCAGCUUGUUGGUGGGGUAGUGGCCUACCAAGGCGACGACGGGUAGCCGGCCUGAGAGGGCGACCGGCCACACUGGGACUGAGACACGGCCCAGACUCCUACGGGAGGCAGCAGUGGGGAAUAUUGCGCAAUGGGCGAAAGCCUGACGCAGCGACGCCGCGUGAGGGAUGACGGCCUUCGGGUUGUAAACCUCUUUCAGCAGGGAAGAAGCGAAAGUGACGGUACCUGCAGAAGAAGCACCGGCUAACUACGUGCCAGCAGCCGCGGUAAUACGUAGGGUGCGAGCGUUGUCCGGAAUUAUUGGGCGUAAAGAGCUCGUAGGCGGCCUGUCGCGUCGGAUGUGAAAACUCGGGGCUUAACCCCGAGCCUGCAUUCGAUACGGGCAGGCUAGAGUUCGGCAGGGGAGACUGGAAUUCCUGGUGUAGCGGUGAAAUGCGCAGAUAUCAGGAGGAACACCGGUGGCGAAGGCGGGUCUCUGGGCCGAUACUGACGCUGAGGAGCGAAAGCGUGGGGAGCGAACAGGAUUAGAUACCCUGGUAGUCCACGCCGUAAACGUUGGGAACUAGGUGUGGGCGACAUUCCACGUCGUCCGUGCCGCAGCUAACGCAUUAAGUUCCCCGC